RNAcentral lists this long non-coding RNA (212 nucleotides) under Lathyrus oleraceus (garden pea). Its description in RNAcentral is "Pisum sativum (pea) long non-coding RNA (PSAT_LNC012794)". Lineage: Eukaryota; Viridiplantae; Streptophyta; Magnoliopsida; Fabales; Fabaceae. The record is from RNAcentral.
CAUUCCUACUCGACAAUAGAAACUUCUGCUUCAAAUUUCAUAUGUUGAAUUCUAUGAGUUUGUUUGAACAAGUCGACAAAUUUUUUCUUUUCUUUUUUUUUUACUUUUUAGAAAUACAAAAAUCAAAACCAAGUAUCAAUCGUGAAAUUUUGAAGAGUAAUUUCCAAAUGAAAUCCUUAUUAGGAGUAUUUGAAAACUAAAAUAUGGAAAGA